RNAcentral lists this ribosomal RNA (439 nucleotides) under uncultured bacterium. RNAcentral describes it as "partial 16S ribosomal RNA". It matches the Rfam family "Bacterial small subunit ribosomal RNA", at positions 342 to 795 of the family's 1533-position model. The record is from RNAcentral.
CGGGGUGCAGCACCAGUGGGGAAUAUUGCACAAUGGGGGAAACCCUGAUGCAGCAACGCCGCGUGGAGGAUGACGCAUUUCGGUGUGUAAACUCCUUUUAUAUAGGAAGAUAAUGACGGUACUAUAUGAAUAAGCACCGGCUAACUCCGUGCCAGCAGCCGCGGUAAUACGGAGGGUGCAAGCGUUACUCGGAAUCACUGGGCGUAAAGCGCGCGCAGGCGGCCCCUUAAGUUGGAUGUGAAAGCCUACGGCUUAACCGUAGAACUGCAUCCAAAACUGAGGGGCUAGAGUCUGGGAGGGGAAGAUGGAAUUAGUUGUGUAGGGGUAAAAUCCGUAGAGAUAACUAGGAAUACCAAAAGCGAAGGCGAUCUUCUGGAACAGUACUGACGCUGAGGCGCGAAAGCGUGGGGAGCAAACAGGAUUAGAUACCCCGGUAGUC